UGGGGGAUAUUGCACAAUGGGGGAAACCCUGAUGCAGCAACGCCGCGUGAGGGAAGAAGGUUUUCGGAUUGUAAACCUCUGUUCUUAGUGACGAUAAUGACGGUAGCUAAGGAGAAAGCUCCGGCUAACUACGUGCCAGCAGCCGCGGUAAUACGUAGGGAGCAAGCGUUGUCCGGAUUUACUGGGUGUAAAGGGUGCGUAGGCGGCAAAGCAAGUCAGGCGUGAAAUCUGAGGGCUUAACCCUCAAACUGCGUUUGAAACUGUUUUGCUUGAGUGAAGUAGAGGUAGGCGGAAUUCCCGGUGUAGCGGUGAAAUGCGUAGAGAUCGGGAGGAACACCAGUGGCGAAGGCGGCCUACUGGGCUUUAACUGACGCUGAAGCACGAAAGCAUGGGUAGCAAACAGG
RNAcentral lists this ribosomal RNA (404 nucleotides) under uncultured prokaryote. RNAcentral describes it as "bacterial SSU rRNA". It matches the Rfam family "Bacterial small subunit ribosomal RNA", at positions 355 to 776 of the family's 1533-position model. The record is from RNAcentral. RNAcentral also lists the same sequence under 1 other name.